This 1096-nucleotide long non-coding RNA is filed under the name Olea europaea (common olive). Its description in RNAcentral is "long non-coding RNA (OEUR_LNC003407)". The record is from RNAcentral. Lineage: Eukaryota; Viridiplantae; Streptophyta; Magnoliopsida; Lamiales; Oleaceae.
UUGUAUGCUAAUUGUUGGAUUAGAGAUGAUGUGUGAAAUCAUCUUGUGAUUUCUCUUGUUUUCUGAAUUCUCAACAGAUUAAUUAUCUAACCAUUGAAGAUGAAUGAGUUUGCAACAAACUUGGUGCUUUGAAUGAAGGUCUAGAAUAGCAUUUCAUCUGUAGUUGCUUGAUUGGUCAUAUGAAGAUUUGACAUAUGCCAAGCUGCCUAGCUAAGUUCACUUUUCCCCUAUCAAACGCUCAUGUUCCUCAUGUCUGAAUGAUCUAUCCACCUAGAAGUUACAUGCUAAUAUGUCAGGUUGUGAAACUCGAACUAGAUUUGUGGCCUCAAUUUAGUCAUGUAAUUAUUAUAUUUAAUUUUCUUUAUUUUGAUAUUAAUGUUCUUGUGAUUGAAAUAAAAAUGGUCAAGGGAUGUUAUACAAAUCUUUUGUCCAUUUUUGUUGAAUUAUUUUGCAUUUCGAAGCUUAAUUUUUUUAUUGGAGUUGGGAUUAGCACAAAAAGUGAAAUUCUUAAUUAUAGAUGUUACUUUUCUCGACUUAAAAUACAUGCAUAAGUGUAGAAGGAAUGCAAUAAUUUCACCUUCAUGAUGUUGGUCUACCUUCUUUAACAUGAACCUCACAGAAGGUAUUAAUGAUUUCUUAGUGGUUGUUUGUCAGUAUUCUAUCACACGAUCUUUUGAAUCAUUGAUUUGCUAGCCGCAGCUGCUUCUUAUUUAUUUAUUUUUAUCAUUAUUAUUUUAUUUUUUUCAAUUUUGUUUAAAUCGAUGAAAAGUUUGUUGAUUUUGUGUUUUACUUUUUGGAUUACGAACGGGGGUGAAAGCAAAGCCUUUGAAGCAACCAAAGGUUGACAAGAAAUAGUAUGACAAGGUAUUGAUUUACUACAAAGAACAUUCCAUUUGGAGUAGUUAUGAAGCUUUUUUCUGAUUAAUUAAUUUGAAUAUAUAAUCAUCAUCUAUCGAGGAAAAUAACAGCCUUUAGUUUUGAUGAAUUUCGAUUGAUUGUCUCUUAAUCAUUUUUUAUUUCCUUUCUUCUUUGUUAAUAACGACUUUUAUGAAAUAACCAUGUAUCAGAAUCCUGGAUCAUAAAUAAAGAAGGCAUG